RNAcentral lists this ribosomal RNA (443 nucleotides) under uncultured bacterium. RNAcentral describes it as "partial 16S ribosomal RNA". It matches the Rfam family "Bacterial small subunit ribosomal RNA", at positions 338 to 795 of the family's 1533-position model. The record is from RNAcentral.
CCUACGGGUGGCAGCAGUGGGGAAUAUUGGACAAUGAGGGGAACCCUGAUCCAGCGACGCCGCGUGAGUGAAGAAGUAUUUCGGUAUGUAAAGUGCUAUCAGCAGGGAAGAAAGUAUUCACGGUACCUGACUAAGAAGCCGCGGCUAACUACGGGCCAGCAGCCGCGUGAAUACGUAGGGGGCAAGCGUUAUCCGGAUAUACUGGGGGUAAAGGGCGCGUAGACGGCGAUGAAAGUCUGAAGUGAAUGUUCGGGGGCUAACCUCCGGAAAGCUUUGGAGACUGUAGGACUGGAGUGAGAGAGAGGUAAGUGGAAUUCCUUGUGAAGCGGUGAAAUGCGUAGAUAUUAGGAGGAACACCAGUGGCGAAGGCGGCUUACUGGGCUGAUACUGACGUUGAGGGUCGAAAGCGUGGGGAGCAAACAGGAUUAGAUACCCGAGUAGUC